Molecule: non-coding RNA, 147 nt
Organism: Triticum aestivum (bread wheat)
Lineage: Eukaryota; Viridiplantae; Streptophyta; Magnoliopsida; Poales; Poaceae
Source: Rfam
UGGUUGUCGUCAGAUCGUGCCGUAAGGUGUUGGGUUAAGUCUCGCAACGAGCGCAACCCUCGUGUUUAGUUGCCACUAUGAGUUUGGAACCCUGAACAGACCGCCGGUGUUAAGCCGGAGGAAGGAGAGGAUGAGGCCAAGUCAUCA